This 760-nucleotide ribosomal RNA is filed under the name uncultured bacterium. Its description in RNAcentral is "bacterial SSU rRNA". It matches the Rfam family "Bacterial small subunit ribosomal RNA", at positions 31 to 839 of the family's 1533-position model. The record is from RNAcentral.
GUACGCUGGCGGCACGCCUAACACAUGCAAGUCGAACGAAGUAGCAAUACUUAGUGGCAGACGGGUGAGUAACAUGUAGGUAUCUACCCUUUGGCCUGGAAUAACACGAGGAAACUUGUGCUAAUACCGGAUAAGUCUUUACAGAGAAAGCUUUAUGCACCAUUGGAUGAGCCUGCACUAGAUUAGUUUGUUGGUGGGGUAAUGGCCUACCAAGACUGUGAUCUAUAGCUGAUUUGAGAGGAUGAUCAGCCACAUUGGGACUGAGACACGGCCCAAACUCCUACGGGAGGCAGCAGUGGGGAAUCUUGCACAAUGGAGGAAACUCUGAUGCAGCGAUGCCGCGUGAGUGAAGAAGGCCCUUGGGUUGUAAAGCUCUUUCGUCGGGGAAGAAAAUGACUGUACCCGAAUAAGAAGGUCCGGCUAACUUCGUGCCAGCAGCCGCGGUAAUACGAAGGGACCUAGCGUAGUUCGGAAUUACUGGGCUUAAAGAGUUCGUAGGUGGUUGAAAAAGUUGGUGGUGAAAUCCCAGAGCUUAACUCUGGAACUGCCAUCAAAACUUUUCAGCUAGAGUAUGAUAGAGGAAAGCAGAAUUUCUAGUGUAGAGGUGAAAUUCGUAGAUAUUAGAAAGAAUACCAAUUGCGAAGGCAGCUUUCUGGAUCAUUACUGACACUGAGGAACGAAAGCAUGGGUAGCGAAGAGGAUUAGAUACCCUCGUAGUCCAUGCCGUAAACGAUGUGUGUUAGACGUUGGAAAUUUAUUU